GGGGAGAUUCCCGAGUGGUCAAAGGGGGCAGACUGUAAAUCUGUUGUCUGACGGCUUCGAAGGUUCGAAUCCUUCUCUCCCCA
RNAcentral lists this transfer RNA (83 nucleotides) under Spirochaetales bacterium. RNAcentral describes it as "tRNA-Tyr". It matches the Rfam family "tRNA". Rfam says of the family: Transfer RNA (tRNA) molecules are approximately 80 nucleotides in length. Their secondary structure includes four short double-helical elements and three loops (D, anti-codon, and T loops). Further hydrogen bonds mediate the characteristic L-shaped molecular structure. tRNAs have two regions of fundamental functional importance: the anti-codon, which is responsible for specific mRNA codon recognition, and the 3' end, to which the tRNAs corresponding amino acid is attached (by aminoacyl-tRNA synthetases). tRNAs cope with the degeneracy of the genetic code in two manners: having more than one tRNA (with a specific anti-codon) for a particular amino acid; and 'wobble' base-pairing, i.e. permitting non-standard base-pairing at the 3rd anti-codon position. Lineage: Bacteria; Pseudomonadati; Spirochaetota; Spirochaetia; Spirochaetales. The record is from RNAcentral.